CACACCGCCCGUCACACCAUGGAAGUCGGUUCCGCCUUAAGCUGCAUCGCUAACCGCAAGGGGGCAUGCAACCACGGCAGGGUCGGUGACUGGGGUG
RNAcentral lists this ribosomal RNA (97 nucleotides) under uncultured bacterium. RNAcentral's name for it is "partial 16S ribosomal RNA". It matches the Rfam family "Bacterial small subunit ribosomal RNA", at positions 1386 to 1482 of the family's 1533-position model. The record is from RNAcentral.